ACUGCAGCCGCUAGACCAGCUCCCUGGCGGGCGCGGAGCAAGCUUUGACCUUUGGAACUGGGCACCGCAGCCCCAAUAUCUGCCCUGCGGUCAGAGCAACCUGAACACUUCCUAGUGAAUUGCAAUGUAAAGGUGACCAGCGCCGCCACUUGGGUGAUCUUAACUUCUCUCAGCCUCAGUUGCCUCAUCUGUAAAAUGUGUUUCAUUCAAGAAAUGAUUACCCAGUGUCUACUUCGUGCUAAACAGCCUUGAGCCCUUGGCCUACAGCAAUGAAUAAAACCAUUUGUGAUGCUCAAAGAGAAGAUGGUCGGUGUAACGCGCUUGUGAUGCUCAAAGAGAAGAUGGUCGGUGUCAUGCGCUUCUGAUGCUCAAAGAGAUCGGUGUCACGCGCAUCCGUGUGAAGACACCGCCAAACAGGGUGUGAGCAAUAAGGCUGUUUAUUUUAACUGGGUGCAGGCGGGCUGAGUCCGAAAAGAGAGUCAGCAAAGGGAGAUAGGGGUGGGGCUGUUUUAUAGGAUUUGGAUGGGUAGCGGAAAAUUACAAAGGGGGUUUUUCUCUUACGGGCAGGGGCGGGGGUCACAAGGUGCUCAGUGGGGGAGGUUCUGAGCCAGGAGAAGGAAUUUCACAAGGUUAAUCACUCAGUUAAGGUGGGGCAGGAACAAAUCACAAUGGUGGAAUGUCAUCAGUUAAGGCAGGAACCGGCCAAUUUCCCUUCUUUUGUGAUUCUUCACUUGCUUCAGGCCAUCUGGAUGUACACGUGCAGGCUUGGGCUCAGAGGCCUGACAGUCGGCCACUAGUUACCAAAGCUGGUGGCAGGCUGGAGUCUCCAGGGAAGCUAUUGAUUGAUUGAUUGACUGAUUGACAGGGUCUUGGUCUGUCACCCAGGCUGGAGUGCAGUGACGCGAUCACAGCUCACUGCAGCCUCAACCUCCCAUGCUCAAGGGAUCCUCCCACCUCAGCCUCUGGAGUAGUUUGGGACCACAGAUGUGUGUCACCAGGCUUGGUUGAUUUUUUUAUUUUAUUUUUUUAGGGACAGAAUCUCUCUAUGUUGCCCAGGCUGGUCUCCAACUCGUGGGUUCAAGCGAUCCUCCUGCCUCAGUCUCCCAAAGUGCUGGGAUGACAGGUGUGGGCAACCACACCCAGCCAAGGAUCUGGUUUUUGAAAAGAUAAAUAAAUUUAACAAACCUCCAGCAAGACUGCAAAGAAAAAAGAAAAAGAGAAGACACAAAUUACCAAUGUGAGGAACAUACCAGGGAAUAUAAUUACAGAACCUUCAGACACCAAAAAGGAAUGCCAUAAAUAACACCACAUAACAUAAAUUUGACAACUUUGACAAGAUGAGCGAAUUCUUCAGAAGGCACAAAUUACUACAAAUAACCUAAUAUGAAAAGGUAAUUUAAAUAGUCCUCUAACUAGAGAAAAUUGUAAUUGUAAUUUUUAAACUAAAAAAAAAAAAAACCUGAGAUCUCCAGGCCCAAAAGCUUUCACUGAUGAAUUCUAUAAAAUGUUUACACAAGAAUUAACACCAAUUCCAUACAGCCUCUUCCAGAAGAUAGAAGAGGAAGGAACAGUUGCCAAUGUACUGUAUGAAGUUAGAAUCACCCCACUACCAAAGCCAGCAAAAGACCGUACAAAAAGAAAAAAAUACCAACACUUCUCAUGAAUAUUGAUGGAAAAAUCCAUAGCAAAAUAUUAGCAAAUAUAAUUCAGAAAUAUAUAAAAAGAAUUGUACAAUAUGACCAAGUGGGAUAUAUUCCAGAGAUGUAAGUUUGUUUUAAUAUUUGAAAAUAUGUGUAAUGCACUAUAUUAAGUUAGAAAAAUCACAUGAUAAUUUCGAUCAAAACAAAAAAAGUAGCUGGGCACAAUGGUUCAUGCCUGUAAUCCAAACACUUUGGGAGGCCGAGGUGGGAGGAUUGCUUGAACCCAGGAGUUUGAGACCAAACUGGUUGGGCCACAUAGCAAGACUUCAUUUCUAUAAAUAAUUUUAAAAUUAGCCAGUCAUGGUGGUGUACACCUGUGGUCCCAGCUACUCCAGAGACUGAGAUGGGGGGGAAAUCACUUGAGCCCAGGAGGUCCAGGCUGCAGUGAACCGUGAUCGUGCCCCUGCACUCCAGCCUGAGUGACAUAAUGAGACCCCCAUUACAAAAAAAAAAAAAAAACAGGCCAGGCAUGGUAGCUCACGCCUGUAAUCCCAGCACUUUGCGAGGCCGAGGCAGACAGAUCAUCUGAGGUCAGAAGUUUGAGACUAGCCUGACCAACACAGAGAAACCCCGUCUCUACUAAAAAUACACAAUUAGCUGGGUGUGGUGGCAUGUGCCUGUAAUUCCAGCUAUUCAGGAGGCUGAGGCAGGAGAAUCAUUUGAACCAGGGAGGCAGAGGUUGCAGUGAGCCGAGAUCGUGCCAUUGCACUCCAGCCUGGGCAACAGGAGUGAAACUCCAUCUCAAAAAAAAAAAAAACAAAAAAAGCAUCUUACAAAUUCCAACAUUCAUUCAUGAUUAAAAACUCAGAUAAACAGGAAUAGAGGGGAACUUCCUCAUCUUGAUAAACCGGAUUACAAAAAACUUACGGCUAAUAUACUUAAUGGUGAGAGAAGACUGAAUGCUCUUCUCAUAAGACUGGGAGCAAGGCAAGGGUGUUCGCUCUCACCACUUUUAUUCAAUAUAGUGCUGGGAGUUCUUGUCAGUGCAAUAGACAAGAAAAGCAAUUACAAACAUAUGGAGUGAAAAGAAAGAAAGAAAACUCUCACUAUUUACAGAUAACAUAAUUGUUGCUAUAGUUUGGAUAUCUGACCAUCCAAACCUCAUGGUGAAAUCUGAUUCUCCAAUGUUAGAGGUGGGGCCUGGUGGAAGGUGUUUGGAUCACGGAGGCCGAUCCCUCAUGAAGGGCUUGGUGCUGUCCUCUGGGUAAUGAGAAGUUCUCAUUGUAUUGGCUCCUGUGAGAGUUCUCCCAAGAACUCAUUGUUAAAAACAGCCUAGCACCUUCCCUCUUUCUCUCUCUCACUUCUGCUCUCUUCCAGUGUGAUCUCUGCACAUGCCAGCUCCCAUUCACCCUCUGCCAUUUGGGGAAGUUUCCUGAGUCCCUCACCAGAAGCAGAUGCUGGCUCUAGGCUUUUUGUUUAGCCUGCAGAACCAUGAGCCAAAUAAACCUUUUUUCUUUAUGAAUUACCAACCCUCAGGUAAUUUAUACACAAUUUUCACACGCGUCCAUGUGAAGAGACCACCAAACUCACUUUGUGUGAGCAAUAAAGCUUUUUAAUCACCUGGGUGCAGGCGGGCUGAGUCGGAAAAGAGAGUCAGCAAAGGGAAAUAGGGGUGGGGCCGUUUUAUAGGAUUUGGGUAGGUAAAGCAAAAUUACAGUCAAAGGGUGUUGUUCUCUGGCAGGCUGGGGUGGGGGUCACAAGGUGCUCAGUGGGGGAGGUUCUGAGCCAGGAGAAGGAAUUUCACAAGGUUAAUCGCUCAGUUAAGGUGGGGCAGGAACAAAUCACAAUGGUGGAAUGUCAUCAGUUAAGGCAGGAACAGGCCAUUUUCACUUCUUUUGUGAAUCUUCAGUUACUUCAGGCCAUCUGGAUGAAUACGUGCAGACUUGGGCUCAGAGGC
This 3597-nucleotide long non-coding RNA is filed under the name Homo sapiens (human). RNAcentral's name for it is "non-protein coding SUCLA2-AS1:3". The record is from RNAcentral. Lineage: Eukaryota; Metazoa; Chordata; Mammalia; Primates; Hominidae.